CCUACGGGUGGCAGCAGUGGGGAAUAUUGCACAAUGGGGGAAACCCUGAUGCAGCGACGCCGCGGGAAGGAAGAAGUAUUUCGGUAUGUAAACUUCUAACAGCAGGGAAGAAAAUGACGGGACCUGACUAAGAAGCACCGGAGAACUACGUGCCAGCAGCCGCGGUAAUACGUAGGGGGCAAGCGUUAUCCGGAUUUACUGGGUGUAAAGGGAGCGUAGGCGGUUUAGCAAGUCAGAAGGGAAAGCCCGGGGCUCAACUCCGGGACUGCUUUUGAAACGGUUGAACUAGAUUGCAGGAGAGGUAAGUGGACUUCCUCGUGUCGCCGUGACAUGCGUCUAUAUUAGG
This 346-nucleotide ribosomal RNA is filed under the name uncultured bacterium. Its description in RNAcentral is "partial 16S ribosomal RNA". It matches the Rfam family "Bacterial small subunit ribosomal RNA", at positions 338 to 701 of the family's 1533-position model. The record is from RNAcentral.